RNAcentral lists this transfer RNA (87 nucleotides) under Pseudomonadales bacterium. Its description in RNAcentral is "tRNA-Leu". It matches the Rfam family "tRNA". Rfam says of the family: Transfer RNA (tRNA) molecules are approximately 80 nucleotides in length. The record is from RNAcentral. Lineage: Bacteria; Pseudomonadati; Pseudomonadota; Gammaproteobacteria; Pseudomonadales.
GCCCGGGUGGUGAAAUUGGUAGACACACAAGACUUAAAAUCUUGCGGCUUUGCGGCCGUGCCGGUUCGAUUCCGGCCCCGGGCACCA